UGGGGAAUUUUGGACAAUGGGCGAAAGCCUGAUCCAGCCAUGCCGCGUGCAGGAUGAAGGCCUUCGGGUUGUAAACUGCUUUUGUACGGAACGAAAAGACUCUGGUUAAUACCUGGGGUCCAUGACGGUACCGUAAGAAUAAGCACCGGCUAACUACGUGCCAGCAGCCGCGGUAAUACGUAGGGUGCAAGCGUUAAUCGGAAUUACUGGGCGUAAAGCGUGCGCAGGCGGUUAUAUAAAACAGAUGUGAAAUCCCCGGGCUCAACCUGGGAACUGCAUUUGUGACUGUAUAGCUAGAGUACGGCAGAGGGGGAUGGAAUUCCGCGUGUAGCAGUGAAAUGCGUAGAUAUGCGGAGGAACACCGAUGGCGAANGCAAUCCCCUGGGCCUGUACUGACGCUCAUGCACGAAAGCAUGGGGAGCAAACAGGAUUAGAUACCCUGGUAGUCCACGCCCUAAACGAUGUCAACUGGUUGUUGGGUCUUCACUGACUCAGUAACGAAGCUAACGCGUGAAGUUGACCGCCUGGGGAGUACGGCCGCAAGGUUG
This 548-nucleotide ribosomal RNA is filed under the name uncultured bacterium. Its description in RNAcentral is "bacterial SSU rRNA". It matches the Rfam family "Bacterial small subunit ribosomal RNA", at positions 355 to 896 of the family's 1533-position model. The record is from RNAcentral.